GACGAACGCUGGCGGCGUGCCUAAUACAUGCAAGUUGAGCGCUGAAGGUUGGUACUUGUACCAACUGGAUGAGCAGCGAACGGGUGAGUAACGCGUGGGGAAUCUGCCUUUGAGCGGGGGACAACAUUUGGAAACGAAUGCUAAUACCGCAUAAAAACUUUAAACACAAGUUUUAAGUUUGAAAGAUGCAAUUGCAUCACUCAAAGAUGAUCCCGCGUUGUAUUAGCUAGUUGGUGAGGUAAAGGCUCACCAAGGCGAUGAUACAUAGCCGACCUGAGAGGGUGAUCGGCCACAUUGGGAAUGAGACACGGCCCAAACUCCUACGGGAGGCAGCAGUAGGGAAUCUUCGGCAAUGGACGAAAGUCUGAACGAGCAACGCCGCGUGAGUGAAGAAGGUUUUCGGAUCGUAAAACUCUGUUGGUAGAGAAGAACGUUGGUGAGGGUGGAAAGCUCAUCAAGUGACGGUAACUACACAGAAAGGGACGGCUAACUACGUG
This 497-nucleotide ribosomal RNA is filed under the name uncultured bacterium. RNAcentral describes it as "partial 16S ribosomal RNA". It matches the Rfam family "Bacterial small subunit ribosomal RNA", at positions 28 to 507 of the family's 1533-position model. The record is from RNAcentral.